UGCCAAAGGAAUCAAUGUGAGCUAGGAUGCC
Molecule: non-coding RNA, 31 nt
Filed under: Macaca fascicularis (crab-eating macaque)
Lineage: Eukaryota; Metazoa; Chordata; Mammalia; Primates; Cercopithecidae
Also listed under: 1 other name
Source: RNAcentral